RNAcentral lists this long non-coding RNA (1315 nucleotides) under Homo sapiens (human). Its description in RNAcentral is "HSALNT0196676". The record is from RNAcentral. Lineage: Eukaryota; Metazoa; Chordata; Mammalia; Primates; Hominidae.
UGUGCAGUAACUUAGAAACAACAGAGGAGUUGUCACGACUUUUAAGAAAAAUGACGGUGGGAAUUGAUGGUAUUUACCAUGGUUCAGCUUGUGAGUGGUAGAGCCACAAUCUGUGCCCAGGGACAACGCAGCAGCCAGAAUGAUGCUUUGGAAAUGGAAGUCUGAUUAUAUCUUGCCUCUCUUCUGCUCAAACCUAAUGGCUCCCCAUUUUACUCUGAGUAAAAAGGCAGCAUCCUUAUCUUUGCUUCAUAGGUGUUGCAUCUCCCGUGGGCUGUACCUGCCUUCCCUUCCACCUGCCCUUGCCCUAAAUGACUCCACUCCAGCCUUGCCAGCCUCCCAGCACUUUCUGGAAUACACUAGGGUUUCUUCCAUAGCACAGUCUUGAAAUUUAACUUUCCCUUUGCAAGGCCAAUAAAUUCCCUCCGCAAAAUCAAGUCUUAGCUAAAUGUCAUCUUUUCAAUUAGGUUUUUCUCUACCCUGUUAUUUAAAAAUCACCCAAAUGCUAUCAACACCCCUUCUCCCUGCCUUACUUCCUAUUUUUAUAGCACUUGUCACUUUCUAAUAUCCCUUAGAAUUUAGUUGCUUAUGCUGUAUCAUUUUCCUUCCAUCAGAAUAUUCACAAGAGAGAUCUUUGUUUUUUUAACUAGCACAUUCACAUAAAUGUAUUUGAUAAACAGCAGCCCUGUUUGUUCCCACAGCCACACAAAGUGUUUGAUGAAAACUGGCCUAUUUGCUUUCCUGAAAUAAUUGGAUUACUGAGAAAAUGGAAUGUAAUUAAUGUAUGCACAUAUCUUAGAACGUAUGUCCAGCACAUGGUUACUGCACAAUAAAAGUUAACUGUCAUCUCUGUAUUAUUAUAAAACGGGUCUUCUCUCUUCUAAAUAGAGAAACUAAAUUUAGUCCAGAGUCAGAUGGGAAACGCAUGCCAGCCCAGCCCCUCUCUAUCAUUGCACUGCCUCUGCCUGUCUUCCCUGCAUCCAACCAAACAGCAUCCUCCAGUUGCAGAAGGAAAUCCGCAAAACGUGCAUGUUCACGGGUGCAAGUGUUGCCACUUCCGUGCAGCAUUUGCAGAGCAAGGCUGCCUAUGCCUACCCCAGCUGGAGCAAGCUUCCAAGGAGAAUAUUAUUCCAGCUUUAUUAUUUGUAGUAUUAUAUAAAACCCAUUUUACUGCAGCUAUUAAAACAAUCUGUGUAAACAUAAUUUUUACAGCUGAAUGAUACUCUAGCAUAUGGCUACACCAUCAUUUACUUAUUUCUUUGUUGUUGAACAUUUAGGAUGUUCCUCGUUUUUUGUUAUUAUGAGCAGGGUGAUGAUA